UACGGAGGGAGCUAGCGUUAUUCGGAAUUACUGGGCGUAAAGCGUGCGCAGGCGGCUUUGCAAGACAGAUGUGAAAUCCCCGGGCUUAACCUGGGAACUGCAUUUGUGACUGCAUGGCUAGAGUGCGGCAGAGGGGGAUGGAAUUCCGCGUGUAGCAGUGAAAUGCGUAGAUAUGCGGAGGAACACCGAUGGCGAAGGCAAUCCCCUGGGCCUGCACUGACGCUCAUGCACGAAAGCGUGGGGAGCAAACAGG
This 253-nucleotide ribosomal RNA is filed under the name uncultured bacterium. RNAcentral's name for it is "partial 16S ribosomal RNA". It matches the Rfam family "Bacterial small subunit ribosomal RNA", at positions 524 to 776 of the family's 1533-position model. The record is from RNAcentral.